This 292-nucleotide ribosomal RNA is filed under the name uncultured bacterium. RNAcentral describes it as "partial 16S ribosomal RNA". It matches the Rfam family "Bacterial small subunit ribosomal RNA", at positions 505 to 796 of the family's 1533-position model. The record is from RNAcentral.
GUGUCAGCAGCCGCGGUAAUACGGAGGGUGCGAGCGUUGUCCGGAAUUACUGGGCGUAAAGCGUGCGCAGGCGGCUGACUAAGCUUGAUGUGAAAUCCCCGGGCUCAACCUGGGAACUGCAUUGAGAACUGGUCGGCUAGAGUGCGGCAGAGGGGGUUGGAAUUCCACGUGUAGCAGUGAAAUGCGUAGAGAUGUGGAGGAACACCGAUGGCGAAGGCAGACCCCUGGGUCGACACUGACGCUCAUGCACGAAAGCGUGGGGAGCAAACAGGAUUAGAAACCCUGGUAGUCC